This 235-nucleotide ribosomal RNA is filed under the name uncultured bacterium. Its description in RNAcentral is "partial 16S ribosomal RNA". It matches the Rfam family "Bacterial small subunit ribosomal RNA", at positions 29 to 292 of the family's 1533-position model. The record is from RNAcentral.
AACGAACGCUGGCGGCAGGCCUAACACAUGCAAGUCGAGCGCCCGUAGCAAUACGGGAGCGGCAGACGGGUGAGUAACACGUGGGAACGUGCCCAAAGGUACGGAACAACUCCGGGAAACUGGAGCUAAUACCGUAUGUGCCCGAAAGGGAAGGAUUAUCGCCUUGUAUCGGCCCGCGUCUGAUUAGCUAGUUGGUGAGGUAAUGGCUCACCAAGGCGACGAUCAGUAGCUGGUC